This 1066-nucleotide long non-coding RNA is filed under the name Callithrix jacchus (white-tufted-ear marmoset). RNAcentral describes it as "lncRNA (ENSCJAG00000071363.1)". Lineage: Eukaryota; Metazoa; Chordata; Mammalia; Primates; Cebidae. The record is from RNAcentral.
UUCUAUUCCUGUCAUCUCCACUCUACUAUUGAACCCAUUCAGUGAGUUUUUCAUUUCGAUUCUAGUAUUUCUAAGUUCUAGAAUUGCUAUUUGGUUUUAUAUUUUGCUGAGAUUUUCUAUGUUUUUAUUUGUUUUCAGGUGUAAUAUUAUUGAAUAUAUAUUUUGAUUUUUGUCCACAAUUUCUGGCUCAUAACCCUUGUAAUUUCCUGAGUGGCUAGAGCAAUAGGAGAAUCUUUUGUUAAAACAUUUGACCUUUUAUCCUUGGAUCUGAAACAGUUUUAGAAUAGCUCCAGAGUUGUAAGGUGAACAUGUCUUUUGUUAUUUAUAACAAUCCCUUUUGACCACACUUGAGUUUGUUAAUGAGGUGGCUUUUGGAGAGUCCCUAGAUAACCACUGGGUGGGUGGCUGGUUGCCAAGGGACCCAACCUUGUGAUUAACGGGUAGGAACUCACAGCCCAUCCUCGACCUUGGGGGACAGGAGAGGGCCUGAAGUUUAAAUUGAUCCCAGUGGCCAAUGAUUUAAUCAUGCCUACAUUAUGAAACCUCCAUAGAACUCAGACAGACAGGGUUUGGAGAGCUUACAGAAGCUGAACACGGAAGUUCCUGGAGAGUGGCAAGCCAGGAGAGGACAUGGAAGCUACACAUCCCUUCUACCUGGCUGUCCAUCUGGAUCCUUUGUAAAAUCCUCUAUACUAAGUGGGGAAAUGUGAACGGAUUACCUUCAAGGAACUGGACUGGUCAUGUGUGUGUCCUGCAUGUCAUCCUUUUCUGGCUCUCAUUGUCGCUGUGUGACUAGUUGGUUCUCAUUGUCAUUGUGUGAUUCAAGUAUCGUGACAAGCCCUGGGGAGAGCGAGGUCAUCUUCUGAGAUAAAACACCCAGCAGGUACCUCUAGUGGUGGUGGUGAUUUUUUGUUUGUUUCUUUUUUUCCCACUUAACCAGUGUGCGAGAUGGUGGUGGUUUUUAACUGACAAAUAAUAGCUGUAUAUAUUUAGAGGCUGCACUGUGGCUAGAGGACAUCAUGCUAAGUGAAAUAAGCCUCCGGCAGUUGCUACAGCAGGUGAGGCU